RNAcentral lists this ribosomal RNA (583 nucleotides) under uncultured bacterium. RNAcentral describes it as "bacterial SSU rRNA". It matches the Rfam family "Bacterial small subunit ribosomal RNA", at positions 338 to 941 of the family's 1533-position model. The record is from RNAcentral.
CCUACGGGAGGCAGCAGUGAGGAAUUUUCCGCAAUGGGCGAAAGCCUGACGGAGCAAUACCGCGUGAGGGAUGAAGGAUUUUGGUCUGUAAACCUCUUUUCUCAAGAAAGAAGUUCUGACGGUACUUGAGGAAUAAGCAUCGGCUAACUCCGUGCCAGCAGCCGCGGUAAUACGGGGGAUGCAAGCGUUAUCCGGAAUGAUUGGGCGUAAAGCGCCUGUAGGUUGUUUAUUAAGUCCGUUGUUAAAGCCUAGGGCUUAACCCUAGAAAAGCAAUGGAAACUAGUAGACUAGAGUAUGGCAGGGGUAGAGGGAAUUUCUAGUGUAGCGGUGAAAUGCGUAGAUAUUAGAAAGAACACCGGUGGCGAAAGCGCUCUACUGGACCAUUACUGACACUCAGAGGCGAAAGCUAGGGUAGCAAAAGGGAUUAGAUACCCCUGUAGUCCUAGCCGUAAACGAUGGAUACUAGAUGUUGUGCAUUAUGUACAGUAUCGCAGCUAACGCGUUAAGUAUCCCGCCUGGGGAGUACGCUCGCAAGGGUGAAACUUAGAAGUAUAGCGNNGAGNGCGACGAGCACAGGAGGUAG